AAGUGUCACAGCUCCUUCAGAAUUUGUUUAGCAGGUGUUCUUGUUCUUACUAGAAGAUGCUCAU
This 64-nucleotide small nuclear RNA is filed under the name Microcebus murinus (gray mouse lemur). Its description in RNAcentral is "U7 small nuclear RNA (ENSMICG00000026003.3)". It matches the Rfam family "U7 small nuclear RNA". Rfam says of the family: Animal histone pre-mRNAs are spliced by a different mechanism than nuclear pre-mRNAs and self-splicing introns. The record is from Rfam by way of RNAcentral. Lineage: Eukaryota; Metazoa; Chordata; Mammalia; Primates; Cheirogaleidae.